GAUGAACGCUAGCGGCAGGCCUAAUACAUGCAAGUCGAACGGAUAUAUGUUUUUCGGAAUAUAUAUUAGUGGCGCACGGGUGAGUAACACGUACAUAACUUGCCCUCAAGCGGGGGAUAGCCUUGGGAAACUGAGAGUAAUACCCCAUAGAAUUAUUGGACGGCAUCGUUUGAUAAUUAAAACUACGGUGUUUGGGGAUAGAUGUGCGUCUGAUUAGCUAGUUGGUGAGGUAACUGCUCACCAAGGCGACGAUCAGUAGGGGGCGUGAGAGCGUGGCCCCCCACACGGGUACUGAGACACGGACCCGACUCCUACGGGAGGCAGCAGUAAGGAAUAUUGGUCAAUGGAGGGAACUCUGAACCAGCCAUGCCGCGUGAAGGAUGACGGCCCUCUGGGUUGUAAACUUCUUUUGGAUGGGGCGAAAAACGGGAUUUAUCCUGGACUGACGGUACCAUCAGAAUAAGCACCGGCUAACUCCGUG
Molecule: ribosomal RNA, 481 nt
Filed under: uncultured bacterium
Lineage: Bacteria
Description: bacterial SSU rRNA
Rfam family: Bacterial small subunit ribosomal RNA
Source: RNAcentral